AUAUAUGGCCAUACCACCCUGGUCCUGGAAACUAAGCAGGAUAAGGCUUGGCCAGGAAUUGGAUAGGAGAUUGCCUGGGAAUACUGGAAGAGGUGGACU
This is a ribosomal RNA of Rhinopithecus roxellana (golden snub-nosed monkey), 99 nucleotides long. Lineage: Eukaryota; Metazoa; Chordata; Mammalia; Primates; Cercopithecidae. The record is from Ensembl.